Molecule: ribosomal RNA, 515 nt
Filed under: Clostridium acetobutylicum
Lineage: Bacteria; Bacillati; Bacillota; Clostridia; Eubacteriales; Clostridiaceae
Description: bacterial SSU rRNA
Rfam family: Bacterial small subunit ribosomal RNA
Source: RNAcentral
GGCGGUUUUUAAGUCAGAUGUGAAUGCCCGGGCUCAACUUGUGUGCUGUUUUUGAAACUGGGUGACUAAAGGGCAGGAGAGAAAAGGGAAUUUCCUGGGGUAGGGGUGAAUGGCGUAAAGUUUAGGAGGACCACCAGUGGCGAAGGCGGUUUUCUGGACUGUAACUGACGUUGAGGUCUGAAAGCGGGGGGAGCAAACAGGAUUAAAUCCCCGGGUAGCCCACGCCGUAAACAAUGAAUACUAGGGGUAGGAGGUUUCGACCCCUUCUGUGCCGCACUAAACACAUUAAGUAUUCCGCCUGGGGGAGUACGAUCGCAAAAUUGAAACUCAAAGGAAUUGACGGGGGCCCGCACAAGCGGCGGAGCAUGUGGUUUAAUUCGAAGCAACGCGAAGAACCUUACCUAGUCUUGACAUCCCCAUGAAUUUCUGUAAUGAGGAAAGUUUCUUCGGGGCAUGGAGACACAGGGGGGCAUGGGUGUCCGUCAGUCGUGUGUCUGAGAAAGUUGGGUUAAGUC